This 465-nucleotide ribosomal RNA is filed under the name uncultured Gammaproteobacteria bacterium. RNAcentral describes it as "bacterial SSU rRNA". It matches the Rfam family "Bacterial small subunit ribosomal RNA", at positions 34 to 496 of the family's 1533-position model. Lineage: Bacteria; Pseudomonadati; Pseudomonadota; Gammaproteobacteria. The record is from RNAcentral.
CGCUGGCGGCAGGCCUAACACAUGCAAGUCGAACGGUAACAUUUCUAGCUUGCUAGAAGAUGACGAGUGGCGGACGGGUGAGUAAUGCUUGGGAACUUGCCUUUGCGAGGGGGAUAACAGUUGGAAACGACUGCUAAUACCGCAUAAUGUCUUCGGACCAAACGGGGCUUAGGCUCUGGGGCAAAGAGAGGCCCAAGUGAGAUUAGCUAGUUGGUAAGGUAAAGGCUUACCAAGGCGACGAUCUCUAGCUGUUCUGAGAGGAAGAUCAGCCACACUGGGACUGAGACACGGCCCAGACUCCUACGGGAGGCAGCAGUGGGGAAUAUUGCACAAUGGGGGAAACCCUGAUGCAGCCAUGCCGCGUGUGUGAAGAAGGCCUUCGGGUUGUAAAGCACUUUCAGUUGUGAGGAAAAGUUAGUAGUUAAUACCUGCUAGCCGUGACGUUAACAACAGAAGAAGCACCGG